GGCGGCGUGGCGGAAAGGCAAGACGCGGAAAUUAGUAAAAUAGUGGUCAUUUGAGUGACCUAACCAGCAUUUUUUAUUUUAGGGGAAUUUCUGACCAUAUGGUUUUGCAGGUUCAAAUCCUGUCGCCGUCU
RNAcentral lists this transfer RNA (131 nucleotides) under Lachnospira sp. RNAcentral's name for it is "tRNA-OTHER". It matches the Rfam family "tRNA". From Rfam's summary of the family: Transfer RNA (tRNA) molecules are approximately 80 nucleotides in length. Their secondary structure includes four short double-helical elements and three loops (D, anti-codon, and T loops). Lineage: Bacteria; Bacillati; Bacillota; Clostridia; Lachnospirales; Lachnospiraceae. The record is from RNAcentral.